UAAUUUAUCCCCCCCCCCAUAUGCUUUGGCGAGAGGGGCCGCUUGGCUGCUUGCCAGGUAGCUCUAUUAUACGUGUUGUUCUCGCACUACGCACGCGCGAACGUCUAACCGCCAAGUGCAAUAUUUGAAUAAGAAAACUCGAUCUACCGGUACUACCGUUUUGCUGUUGAUAAGUCCGUCGAUAAUUCAUCAAAAACUAAAGGAACACGGGUCAGAUUCGGACAGCGACUUCAAAGUCAUUUGUAGAAGGCUAUAACAUUUGGACGACGGAUACACUGGAUGAUAAGGUAGAUGAUCCAGCCUUAUCUUGGAAUGACACGACGGGUGUUGAACACAGAAAACGUACCGUGUACAAGAAACAAUUGAAGUUUAUGAAAGCUUCAAGGAAUUAAUC
RNAcentral lists this long non-coding RNA (394 nucleotides) under Lytechinus variegatus (green sea urchin). RNAcentral describes it as "uncharacterized LOC121412601". Lineage: Eukaryota; Metazoa; Echinodermata; Echinoidea; Temnopleuroida; Toxopneustidae. The record is from RNAcentral.